Molecule: ribosomal RNA, 406 nt
Filed under: uncultured bacterium
Lineage: Bacteria
Description: partial 16S ribosomal RNA
Rfam family: Bacterial small subunit ribosomal RNA
Source: RNAcentral
AUUGAACGCUGGCGGCAGGCCUAACACAUGCAAGUCGAACGAGUGGCGGACGGGUGAGUAAUGUCUGGGAAACUGCCCGAUGGAGGGGGCUAACUACUGGAAACGGUAGCUAAUACACCAUAUCAUCGGAUGUGCCCAGAUGGGAUUAGCUAGGUGGUGGGGUAAGGGCUGACCUAGGCGACGAUCACUAGCUGGUCGGAGAGGAUGACCAGGCACGCUGGAACUGAGGCACGGUCCAGUCGCCACCGGGAGGCAGCAGAGGGGAAUAGUGCAGUAUGGGAGCGAGCCUGAUGCAGCAAGGCCGCGUGUAUGAAGAAGGCAUUCGGGUUGAAGGGUAAAUGCAUUGAGAUGGCGUUACUCGCAGAAGAAGCACCGGCUAACUCCGUGCCAGCAGCCGCGGUAAUUC